Molecule: ribosomal RNA, 497 nt
Filed under: uncultured bacterium
Lineage: Bacteria
Description: partial 16S ribosomal RNA
Rfam family: Bacterial small subunit ribosomal RNA
Source: RNAcentral
GAUGAACGCUGGCGGCGUGCCUAAUACAUGCAAGUCGAGCGAACGGACGAGAAGCUUGCUUCUCUGAUGUUAGCGGCGGACGGGUGAGUAACACGUGGAUAACCUACCUAUAAGACUGGGAUAACUUCGUGAAACCGGAGCUAAUACCGGAUAAUCUUUUGAACCGCAUGGUUCAAAAGUGAAAGACGGUCUUGCUGUCACUUAUCGAUGGAUCCGCGCUGCAUUAGCUAGUUGGUGAGGUAACGGCUUACCAAGGCGACGAUGAAUAGCCGACCUGAGAGGAUGACCGGCCACACGGGAACUGAGACACGGUCCAGACUCCUACGGGAGGCAGCAGUGGGGAAUAUUGCACAAUGGGCGCAAGCCUGAUGCAGCCACGCCGCGUGGAUGAAGAAGGUCUUCGGGUUGUAAAAUACUUUCAUGGGGGAAGAAGAGAGGAAAGUUAAUACGUUCGCUCAUUGACGUUACCAACAGAAGAAGCACGGGCUAACUCCGUG